CGGACUCCCGGAAGCCCAAGUCCGGCUGGGAGGAAGCAGCUGAAACCCGGCCAACAGACCGGGGGUUAAUUUAGCCAGAAAAGCGGGCGGGAGGGGCUGUAGGGUGCUUGUCAAUUCGCCGCCAUGAAUGUGGUUUUUGCUGUGAAGCAGUACAUUUCCAAAAUGAUAGAGGACAGCGGGCCUGGUAUGAAAGUACUUCUCAUGGAUAAAGAGACGACUGGCAUAGUGAGUAUGGUAUACACACAAUCGGAGAUUCUACAGAAGGAAGUGUACCUCUUUGAACGCAUUGAUUCUCAAAAUCGAGAGAUCAUGAAACACCUGAAGGCAAUUUGUUUUCUUCGACCUACAAAGGAGAAUGUGGAUUAUAUGAUUCAGGAGCUCCGAAGACCCAAAUACACUAUAUAUUUCAUUUAUUUCAGUAAUGUGAUCAGCAAGAGUGACGUGAAGUCAUUGGCUGAAGCUGAUGAACAGGAAGUUGUGGCUGAGGUUCAGGAAUUUUAUGGUGAUUACAUUGCUGUGAACCCACAUUUGUUUUCCCUCAAUAUUUUGGGUUGCUGCCAGGGUCGAAAUUGGGAUCCAGCCCAGCUAUCUAGAACAACUCAAGGGCUUACAGCUCUCCUUUUAUCUCUGAAGAAAUGUCCCAUGAUUCGUUAUCAGCUCUCAUCAGAGGCAGCAAAGAGACUUGCAGAGUGCGUUAAGCAAGUGAUAACUAAAGAAUAUGAACUGUUUGAAUUCCGUCGGACAGAGGUUCCUCCAUUGCUCCUUAUUUUAGAUCGCUGUGAUGAUGCCAUCACCCCAUUGCUAAACCAGUGGACAUAUCAGGCCAUGGUCCAUGAACUACUAGGCAUAAACAACAAUCGGAUUGAUCUUUCCAGAGUGCCGGGGAUCAGUAAAGACUUAAGAGAAGUGGUCCUAUCUGCUGAAAAUGAUGAAUUCUAUGCUAAUAAUAUGUACCUGAACUUUGCUGAGAUUGGUAGCAAUAUAAAGAAUCUCAUGGAAGAUUUUCAGAAGAAGAAACCAAAAGAACAGCAAAAACUAGAAUCAAUAGCAGACAUGAAGGCGUUUGUUGAGAAUUAUCCACAGUUCAAGAAAAUGUCUGGGACUGUUUCAAAGCAUGUGACAGUGGUUGGAGAACUAUCUCGAUUGGUCAGUGAGCGGAAUCUGCUGGAGGUUUCAGAGGUUGAGCAAGAACUGGCCUGUCAAAAUGACCAUUCUAGUGCUCUCCAGAAUAUAAAAAGGCUUCUGCAGAACCCCAAAGUGACAGAGUUUGAUGCUGCUCGCCUGGUGAUGCUUUAUGCUUUACAUUAUGAGCGACACAGCAGCAAUAGCCUGCCAGGACUAAUGAUGGACCUCAGGAAUAAAGGUGUUUCUGAGAAGUAUCGAAAGCUCGUGUCUGCAGUUGUUGAAUAUGGUGGUAAACGAGUCAGAGGAAGUGACCUCUUCAGCCCCAAAGAUGCUGUGGCUAUCACCAAACAAUUCCUCAAAGGACUGAAGGGAGUAGAAAAUGUAUAUACACAGCAUCAACCUUUCCUACAUGAAACCCUGGAUCAUCUCAUCAAAGGAAGGCUUAAGGAAAACCUAUAUCCUUAUCUAGGCCCCAGCACACUCAGAGACAGAUGUUGAUUGAAUGCUUUCAGUAUGUCAAGAGCUGUUGUAGAUGCUGGCAAUAUAGAAGUGACAGGAAAGACAAGAAUUGCCUCUUGUCUCUGAUAAAGGCAAGCAACUUUUUCAUUUGGUGAGGAAAUGGAGCUAUAUGAUCAUGCAUUCCAGAAUGAGUCAAUUCAAAAAGGAAGUACUUUUCAUGUUUAUACAAAUGUAGUAGAAUCUUGUUGCUACAGCUUAUUUUUUGUUUCUGUGAAGCAGCAGUCCUUUUUCAUUGGCCUUUUUUCCUGCAGUAAAUGCUUAUAAGAACUGUACCAUUUGUAAGUAUGUUCAGAAAUUACAAUUUUAGCCAUAAGUGUAAUGCUCCACAAAAUAGAUAAAAUGUUGCCUUUUGAAAGUUUGUGUUUCCACCUAACUUAACCACAUAUAGAAAUAAUGUUAAAAAUUCUCAAUAAGGCAGGCAAUGUGGCUCAUGCCUGUAAUCCCAGCACUUUGGGAGGCUGAGGUGGGCAGAUCAGAGGUCAGGAGUUCGAAACUAGCCUGGCCAACAUAGUGAAACCUUGUCUCUACUAAAAAAAAAUACAAAAAUUAGCUGGGUGUGGUGGCAGGCAUGGUGGCAGACGCCUGCAGUCCCGGCUACUUGGGAGGCUGAGGCAGGAGGAUCGGCUGAACCCAGGAGGCAGAGGUUGUAGUGAGCCAAGACUGUGCCACUGCACUCCAGCCUGGGCGACAGAGUGAGACUCCAUUAAAAAAAAAAGAAAAAAAAAAACUCUCAACAAACUUGGUAUUGAAGGAACAUACCUCAAAAUAAUAAGAGCCAUCUAUUCCCAGUACUCUGGGAGGCCGAGGCGGGCGGAUCAUGAGGUCAGGAGAUCGAGACCAUCCUGGCUAAUACGGUAAAACCCUGUCUCUACUAAAAAUACAAAAAAAUUAGCCAGGCAUGGUGGUGGGUGGCUGUAGUCCUGGCUACUCGGGAGGCUGAGGCAGGAGAAUGGCAUGAACCCGGGAGGUGGAGCUUGCAGUGAGCCAAAAUCGAGCCACUGCUCUCCAGCCUGGGGGACAGAGCGAGACUCCGUCUCAAAAAAAAAAAAAAGAGCCGUCUAUGACAAACCCACAGCCAACAUCAUACUGAAUGGGCAAAAGCUGGAAGCAUUCCCCUUGAAAACCAGCACAAGACAAGGAUGCCCUCUCUCACCACUUCUAUUCAACGGAGUAUUGAAAGUCCUAGCCAGAGCAACCAGGCAAGAGAUAGAAAUAAAGUGCAUCCAAACAGGAAAACAGGAAGUUAAACUGUUUUUAGACGACAUGAUUCUAUAUCUAGAAAACCCCAUAGUCUCAGCUCAAAAGCUCCUUCAGCUGAUAAACAACUUCAGCAAAGUUGCAGGAUACAAGUCAGUGUACAAAAAUCACUAGCAUUCCUAUACAGCAACGACAACCAAGCUGAAAGCCAAAUUAGAAAGCAAUCCCAUUCACAACUGCCACCAAAAAAAUAAAAUACCUAGGAAUACAGCUAACCAGGAAGGUGAAAGAGCUCUACAGUGAGAAUUACAAAACAUUGUUCAAAGAAAUUAGAGAAGCCACAAACAAAUGGAAAACAUCCCAUGCUCAUGGAUAGGAAGAAUCAAUAUCAUUAAAAUGGCUAUACUGCCCAAAGCAGUUUACAGAUUCAAUGCUAUUCCUAUCUAACUACCAAUGACAUUCUUCACAGAACUAGAAAAAAUUAUUUUAAAAUUCAUAUGGAAUCAAAAAACAGCCCAAAUAGCCAAGGCAAUCCUAAGCAAAAAGAACAAAGCUGGAAGAAUCACGUUACCCAACUUCAAACUAUACUACAAGGCUACAGUGACCAAAAUGCAUGGUAUGGGUACAAAAACAGGCACAUAGACCAAUGGAACAGAAUAGAGAGCCCAGAAAUAAGGCCUCACAUCUAUGACCAUCUGAUCUUUGACAAAGCUGACAAAAACAAGCAAUGGGGAAAAGACUCAUUCAAUAAAUGGUGCUGAAAUAACUGACUAGCCAUAUGCAGAAGAUUGAAGCUGGACCCCUUCCUUACACCAUAUACAAAAAGUUCAACUCAAGAUUGAUUAAAGACAAAUGUAAAACCCAAAACUAUAAAAACCCUGGAAGACAACCUAGGUAAUACCAUUCUGGACCUAGGAACAGGCUAAGAUUUCAUGACAAAAAAACUAUGCAUCUGAGAAAGGUCUAAUAUCCAGCAUCUAUAAAGAACUUAAACAAAUUUACAAGAGAAAAACAACCUCAUUAAAAUGUGGGAGGCCGAGGCAGGUGGAUCACCUAAAGUCAGGAAUUCGAGACCAGCCUAGCCAACAUGGUGAAACCCUGUCUCUACUAAAAAUACAAAAAAUUAGCCACGAGUGAUGGCUGGCACCUGUAAUCGUGCCAUGGGAGGCUGAGGCAGGAGAAUCACUUGAACCCGGGAGAUGGAGGUUGCUGUGAGCCGAGACUGUGCCAUUGCACUCCAGCCUGGGCAACAAGAGCAAAACCCUGUCACAAAAAAAAAAAAAAGUGGGCAAAGGACAUAACAGUUACUUCUCGAAAGAAGACAUACAUGCAGCCAACAAGCAUAUGAAAAAAAGCUCAAUAUCACUGAUCAUUAGAGAAAUGCAAAUCAAAACUGUGGUGAGAUACCAUCUCAACACCAGUCAGAAUGGCUAUUACUAAAAAGUCAAAAAAUAGGCUGGGCAUGGUGGUUCAAGCCUGUAAUCCCAGCACUUUGGGAGGCCGAGGUGGGUGGAUCACAAGGUCAGGAGUUCGAGACCAGCCUAGCCAACACGGUGAAACCCCUUCUCUACUAAAAAUACAAAAAUUAGCCAGGCCUGGUGGCACAUGCCUGUAAUCUCAGCUACUCGGGAGGCUGAGGCAGGAGAAUGGCUUGAACCCGAGAGGCAGAGGUUGCAGUGAGCCGAGAUCACACCAUUGCACUCCAGCUCUGGGCAACAGAGCAAGACUCCACCUCGAAAAAAAAAAAAAAGUCAAAAAUAACAGAUCCUGGUGAGGUUGCAGAGAAAAGGGAACCCUUGUAACUGUUGGUGGGAAUGUAAAUUAGUUCAAACAUUGUGGAAAGCAGUAUGGCAGUUCCUCAAAGAUUUAAAAACAGAACUACCAUUUGACCCAGAAAUCCCAUUACUGGGUAUAUACCCAGAGGAAUAUAACUCAUUCUACCAUAAAGACACAUGCAGCUGGACACGGUGGUUCACGCCUAUAACCCCAGCACUUUGGGAGGCUGAGGCAGGUGGAUCACCUGAGGUCAGUAGUUCGAGACCAGCCUGGCCAACAUGGUGAAACCUUGUCUCUACUAAAAAAUAAAAAAAAUUAGCCAGGCAUGGUGGCAGGUGCCUGUAAUCCCAGCUACUCGGGAGGCUAAGGCAGCAGAAUCACUUGAACCCGGGAGGUGGAGAUUGUGAUGAGCCGAGAUUGCUCUACUGCACUCCAGCCUGGGCGACAGAGUGAGACUCCCUGUCAAAAAAAAAAAAGACACAUGCAUGGCCAGGUGGGGUGGCUCAUGCCUGUAAUCCCAGCACUUCGGGAGGCCGAAGGGAGUGGAUCACCUGAGGUUAGGAGUUCAAGACCAGCCUAACCAACAUAAUGAAACCUCAUCUCUACUAAAAAUACAAAAUUAGCGGGGCAUGGUGGUGCAUGCCUGUAAUCUCAGCUGCUUGGGAGGCUGAGGCAGGAGGACUGCUUGAACCUGGGAGGCAGAGGUUGUGGUGAGCCAAAAUUGUGCACUUGCAUUCCAGCCUGGGCAAUGAGCGAAACUCUGUCUCAAAAAAAAAGACACAUGCACACGAAUAUUCAUUGCAGCACUGUUCACAAUAGGUACGACAUGGAAUCAACCUAAAUGCCCACCAAUGACAGACUAGAUAAGGAAAAUGUACAUAUACACCAUGGAAUGUUAGGCAGCCAUUAAAAAAAUGAGAUUAUGCCUUUUGUGGGAACAUGGAUGGAGCUGGAGGCUAUCACCCUUAGCAAACUAAUGCAGGAAGAGAAAACCAAAUACUGCAUGUUCUCACUUACAGGUUGGAGCUAAAUGAUAAGAACUCAGGAACACAGAAGGAAACAGCAGAUACUGGGGUCUACUUGAGCAGGAAGGGUGAAAGGAGGGAGAGGAACAGAAAAGAUAACUAUUGGGUCCUAAGCUUAAUAACUGGGUGAUGUAAUAAUAUGUAUGACAAACCGCUGUGACACUUGCUUAUGUAACAAACC
This is an RNA transcript of Pongo pygmaeus (Bornean orangutan), 5823 nucleotides long. It is a transcript of the gene named vacuolar protein sorting 45 homolog, with no coding region annotated. The record is from RefSeq and is a predicted model, not a curated record. Lineage: Eukaryota; Metazoa; Chordata; Mammalia; Primates; Hominidae. The transcript is spliced from 15 exons.